UCUAGAAUUAAAAAAAAAUUAGACUAGUGAUUUGACGCUCAAUUUAAGUGUAAAAAGUGAAGAAUAAAGAAAUGUCACAAACACCUAACUGAAUCAUAAAAUUAAGUAUUGCAUAGGGUUAAGCUAUUAUUAUUAACAUCGUAAUCAUCAUCAUUUCUCAAAUAUCGCAAUGACUCCUGUAUUGAGAGCCAUCAAGA
Long non-coding RNA from Hibiscus syriacus, 197 nucleotides. RefSeq lists it as uncharacterized. NCBI's taxonomy places the organism in Eukaryota, Viridiplantae, Streptophyta, Magnoliopsida, Malvales, Malvaceae. The transcript has 2 exons. The record is from RefSeq and is a predicted model, not a curated record.